GACGAACGCUGGCGGCGUGCUUAACACAUGCAAGUCGAGCGGUAAGGCCCCUUCGGGGGUACACGAGCGGCGAACGGGUGAGUAACACGUGAGCAAUCUGCCCAUCACAUCGGGAUAACUCCGGGAAACCGAAGCUAAUACCGAAUACGACCACCUCCGGCAUCGGAUGGUGGUGGAAAGUUCCGGCGGUGAUGGAUGAGCUCGCGGCCUAUCAGCUUGUUGGUGGGGUAACGGCACACCAAGGCUUCGACGGGUAGCCGGCCUGAGAGGGUGACCGGCCACACGGGGACUGAGACACGGCCCAGACUCCUACGGGAGGCAGCAGUGGGGAAUAUUGGACAAUGGGCGAAAGCCUGAUCCAGCAACGCCGCGUGAGGGAUGACGGCCUUCGGGUUGUAAACCUCUUUCAGCAGGGACGAAGCGCAAGUGACGGUACCUGCAGAAGAAGCACCGGCCAACUACGUG
RNAcentral lists this ribosomal RNA (465 nucleotides) under uncultured bacterium. Its description in RNAcentral is "partial 16S ribosomal RNA". It matches the Rfam family "Bacterial small subunit ribosomal RNA", at positions 28 to 507 of the family's 1533-position model. The record is from RNAcentral.